Molecule: ribosomal RNA, 378 nt
Filed under: uncultured bacterium
Lineage: Bacteria
Description: bacterial SSU rRNA
Rfam family: Bacterial small subunit ribosomal RNA
Source: RNAcentral
GAUGAACGCUAGCGGCAGGCUUAAUACAUGCAAGUCGAGGGGCAGCAUGGUUGUAGCAAUACAACUGAUGGCGACCGGCAAACGGGUGCGGAACACGUACGCAAUCGACCCAAAACUGAUGAAUAGCCCUCCGAAAGGAGGAUUAAUACAUCGUAACAUAAUUGAAUGGCAUCAUUUUAAUUAUUAUAGCUCCGGCGGUUUUGGAUGAGCGUGCGCCNGAUUAGGUAGUUGGCGGGUAACGGCCCACCAAGCCUGCGAUCAGUAACUGGUGUGAGAGCACGACCAGUCACACGGGCACUGAGACACGGGCCCGACUCCUACGGGAGGCAGCAGUAAGGAAUAUUGGUCAAUGGACGCAAGUCUGAACCAGCCAUGCCG